UGAUUGCAAACUGGUGGUGGGCUCGCUGAGGCGGCCUUGACCAGUCAUGUCCACAAGGGACGAAAGACCAAGCCGCCCGAAAGUUUCGAGGCGGCUUUUUU
Molecule: non-coding RNA, 101 nt
Filed under: Gellertiella hungarica
Lineage: Bacteria; Pseudomonadati; Pseudomonadota; Alphaproteobacteria; Hyphomicrobiales; Rhizobiaceae
Description: RcsR1 sRNA
Rfam family: RcsR1 sRNA
About the family: RcsR1 (rhizobial cold and salinity stress riboregulator 1) trans-acting sRNA, formerly known as SmelC587, is a stress-related riboregulator, conserved in Sinorhizobium, Rhizobium and Agrobacterium. In S. meliloti RcsR1 less conserved central region is responsible for the species-specific interaction with the 5'UTR of autoinducer synthase encoding mRNA sinI. The interaction negatively influences sinI translation..
Source: Rfam by way of RNAcentral